Molecule: ribosomal RNA, 253 nt
Filed under: uncultured prokaryote
Description: partial 16S ribosomal RNA
Rfam family: Bacterial small subunit ribosomal RNA
Source: RNAcentral
ACGUAGGUGGCAAGCGUUGUCCGGAAUUAUUGGGCGUAAAGCGUGCGCAGGCGGUUAUGCAAGACAGAUGUGAAAUCCCCGGGCUUAACCUGGGAACUGCAUUUGUGACUGCAUAGCUGGAGUACGGUAGAGGGGGAUGGAAUUCCGCGUGUAGCAGUGAAAUGCGUAGAUAUGCGGAGGAACACCGAUGGCGAAGGCAGUCCCCUGGACCUGUACUGACGCUCAUGCACGAAAGCGUGGGGAACAAACAGGA